UUAAGUACCACCCAAGAUUAUUAAUUCAUUUUAGUUGAGUUAAAUCAUGAUACUUUUAAAUGCAAGUUCUAUAAGUUCCAGCCCUGAAGAUUAAAGGAAAAAACGCUAAAUCAAUUGAAAAUACAACAAUGGUGAAAUCAUAAAACGACCCCAACUCAAACCUAAUGACGGAAAAGUACAGAUUUUCUUUUCACAAUUUCAACGGGUUUUUUGGUAGUUAAUGGAACAGUUAAGAAUAGGUGACCAAGUUGGCAACCCUGCCUAAAAGCUGAACUGACUAUCUGACUGUCUUUUUACUUGUGCGUCGGGAGAGAAAGUGUGACGGAUAGCCUAAUAAGUAAUGAAUGUGGCGCUUAAAGAGGAGGACAAAUGAAACCAGGUGGAGGGUUUUUCCCACAAGUUAUUAAAGCUUGAAGAGCAAGGGGAAUGAAGAUGUUAAGGUUUAGGAGCUUAAGCCUUAUGGCUGUGCAAAGACAAACGGCUGCUUCGAGCUCUAGUAGACCUCCCAGCACUGGGCAGCAAGCAUUCUCAACAGGGUCUCCUAACCCAAUAUGCACCAAUCCUCCAAGCACAUCCACGCACAGUCCUAGCUUAAGUGCAUUAACCGGGCAUGUUGGUUGGGUAGUUGGUGGAGCAGGAGUGCUACCCCCACCACCACCACCUCCACCACCGCCACCGCCACCUCCUCCACCGCCGCCUCCACCAGAAGGUGGGUAAGGAGAAGAAGGUGGUGGGUUUGUAACAGGAGGGUUGGUAAUGGGAGGGUUUGGUAUUGGUGGGACAAUAACUGGUGGCCUUGGCGGCUUUUUGGAUGGUGGUUCUACCUUUGGGGCGCCUCCAUGUUUUGGUGGGUGCUUA
RNAcentral lists this long non-coding RNA (858 nucleotides) under Gossypium barbadense (sea-island cotton). RNAcentral's name for it is "long non-coding RNA (GBAR_LNC022030)". Lineage: Eukaryota; Viridiplantae; Streptophyta; Magnoliopsida; Malvales; Malvaceae. The record is from RNAcentral.